CGGAGAACAGGAGGAUUUAAAUACCUCUAAGCGGGCGACCUGCUCAGCCCUUCGGGUGUGGGAGGGUGACUGUUUUGUGUCUUUGCUAGACCGGGGGAGCAGGGGGUGGAGGAGGAGGAACGGAUAAUGAGCUAUUCUUGUACCAGCACAGGCAACAGCCAGGACCCAUCAAGCUCUAAGAAGUCUGGCGGCGUUAAUCCCGGUAGUUGCAGCAGCAGCAGCGGAGACACCGGCAACGGCAAUAACCGCCACAGCAUCCGCGGCAGCAAAGAGAACUCGAACCCUAAUUUAACCGAGGCCAUGAAAGUCAAGAAGGGCUGCAACACGACAGACGUCGGAGUCCCCGUAACCACAGAAGAGGAAUUGCUCGCGAACAAAACGAUCACCCCGGAGGAUGUGCUGGGAUUGCAGAAGAUCACUGAAAAUUAUCUAUGUAGUCCAGAAGACAAUGUGUACAAUAUUGACUUCACACGGUUCAAGAUCAGGGAUAUGGAGACAGGAACCGUACUGUUUGAGAUCACUAAACCACCAGCCACAGAUAAAGGAGGGGAUAAAAGAGAUGUUGAUCCAAAUGCUGGACGGUUUGUACGUUAUCAGUUUACGCCAGCUUUCUUACGGCUACGUCAAGUAGGAGCCACUGUUGAAUUCACAGUAGGGGACAUCCCCAUCAAUAACUUCCGGAUGAUCGAGAGGCAUUAUUUCCGUGAACAGCUGCUGAAGAGCUUCGACUUUGAGUUUGGCUUCUGCAUCCCCAGCAGCAAGAACACCUGUGAGCACAUCUAUGAGUUCCCGCCGCUCUCAGAGGAUCUCAGACGAUGAUCCAAAAACAAAUCCCAGUCCCCUGACCUGAACCCUAUAGAAAAUGAGGGUGGUGAACUGAAAAUGAGAAGCACCAACAUGGACCUGUGAAUUUGAAGGAUCUGGAGAGAUUCUGUAUGGGGGGACGUUAUCUGAUGUCUUGUCAGUUGUUCUCCAAACUCAUCAGGCAUUAUAGUACGUGAGAUGAUCCUCCAUCCUUACGAGACGCAGUCCGACAGCUUCUACUUUGUGGACAACAAGCUGGUCAUGCACAACAAAGCAGAUUACUCAUACAGCGGAGGCCCGUAGGACAGCAGUGGGAUGGGACUGAGGCAGAGAGUUUGACUGACAGACCUAAGGACCAAUCACAUGUCUUUGUCCAGCAGUCACGCCCUCCUCGAAUCAGUGUCAUAGACGAUCACCUGCAGUGCGCCAUGCCUGUUUUUGAAAUCUAGUCGUCUCAUAAGGUCUUGUCCGAUGCAUACAUAUCCUACUCUGAUUUCACACUGCCAUUGUUCACAUCAGCAAAUAUAUAUAUAUAUAUAUAUAUAUAUAUAUAUAUAUAUAUAUAUAUAUAUAUAUAUAUAUAUAUAUAUAUAUAUAUAUUAUAUUAUAUUAUAUUUUAUAACUUACCCCAAACAUGAGCAAAUUCACUCCAGUCCCAUGUUUUUUAUGGGCAAGGCGCUGUAAUGUGAAUGGUACUUAGGUGUUGCUAUUCAUCUCGUGCGUGCGUGUGUGCGUGCGUGUGUGUGUGAGGGGGGCGUCUAAGUGGGCCGUCCUCACAGUUUAACACAGAUAAGACCAUUAUAUAUUGUUGAUGUUGAGUAUUACUUUCCCUGUCAGAAUAAGCUACAUCAGAAUUUUCAUACUUGUGAACUUUUCAUCCUAAAUGGAAUAUAAUAUGACUUUAUGGUGAGACCUUGACAUAAUUGAUAGAUUUGUGUUGCAUUAGAUAUAUUUUGAUACGUGAACAAACUUGCUUAAUUUUGAGAUGUUGAUUAUUUGUUUGGAAAAAAACAAAAAUCAAGCAAAAAAUGAAGUCAAAUAAAUUUAAAAGGAGUUCAUGGUGCACAUCUGUCAUGGAUCUGCGGAUACUAGGAACUUUUGCAUUCAUUAGAUCCUGAUUAUACAUAAAUCAUGCUGUGAACAAGAGGUUGUGUAGAUAAAACAACGUUUGUGAAAAAACGUAUGCCGAAAAGGGAACACGGCACACGUAACAAGCCUUGACAUUUCAAACGUUCUGGUUCAUGUGGUUUCUUUUUGUCUUUGUGAAAAACAAAAGGAAAGAAAUAUGUUUUCAGCUGUAUAAAGAAAAGUAGUUCAAAGAGAUCAAGAGAUGGCGCCUCUUUUCAUCUCUCCAUCACACAUUCCAGUGAGCCAGCCCCUCACGGCUGUUUAGUGCACAUAGCAGAGGUUAGAUUUAACGUCUUAUCCAAGGAUCCUUGUGUUCAUAGUGCAAAAAGUGCAUUUAGAAGAAUGAUUUAAAGAGAACCUAUUUUUGGUUGAUGAAUGAAGGAGGCGUUCAGGACUUGUGUAAGUGUGUAAAAUGGAGGAAUAACUUGAAAAAAAAUGUUUCUAGUCAUACAUGUAACAGCUUUAUUUAUAAAAGAAAUAAAUGUAUAUGUUGAUUUUCUUUUGGAAA
This is an RNA transcript of Ctenopharyngodon idella (grass carp), 2440 nucleotides long. It is a transcript of the gene named unc-119 homolog b (C. elegans), with no coding region annotated. The transcript is spliced from 6 exons. NCBI's taxonomy places the organism in Eukaryota, Metazoa, Chordata, Actinopteri, Cypriniformes, Xenocyprididae. The record is from RefSeq and is a predicted model, not a curated record.